CAGUCGCCGCGGGAAUACGAAGGGUGCAAGCGUUACUCGGAAUUACUGGGCGUAAAGCGUGCGUAGGUGGUGGUUUAAGUCCGUUGUGAAAGCCCUGGGCUCAACCUGGGAAUUGCAGUGGAUACUGGGUCACUAGAGUGUGGUAGAGGAUAGUGGAAUUUCCGGUGUAGCAGUGAAAUGCGUAGAGAUCGGAAGGAACAUCUGUGGCGAAGGCGACUAUCUGGGCCAACACUGACACUGAGGCACGAAAGCGUGGGGAGCAAACAGGAUUAGAUACCCGCGUAGUCCCUGUCUCUUAUAC
Molecule: ribosomal RNA, 301 nt
Filed under: uncultured bacterium
Lineage: Bacteria
Description: partial 16S ribosomal RNA
Rfam family: Bacterial small subunit ribosomal RNA
Source: RNAcentral